Arabidopsis thaliana (thale cress) is the source of this 299-nucleotide long non-coding RNA. RefSeq annotates it as other RNA. The transcript has a single exon. The record is from RefSeq. NCBI's taxonomy places the organism in Eukaryota, Viridiplantae, Streptophyta, Magnoliopsida, Brassicales, Brassicaceae.
ACGCUUCUCGGUUUGUCGACCUAAAGCUUGAAUGAUUCGAUGAAUGAUGGUAGAGAUGAAAGAUGGAGGUUUUGUUGAAUGAAUCCACACUCAACGUGCUUGAUUGAAUCCACAAUCAAACCACAAACAAAUCAACUUGAAUCCACAAGCUAAUUGAUCCGCACACACAAGACUUUAGUGAAUCCACACUAACUUCUAAUGCAUAAAACUCAAAGACACUCUUUAAAGAAAAUACUUGUUUAUUUCGUAAAAGGCUUGAAUACAAAUGAAAACUAAGGUGAGCUUAUAUAGAGGCUCAA